GCUUAGCCCUAAAUCUUGAUACUUCACCUACAUAAGUAUCCGCCCGAGAACUACGAGCACAAACGCUUAAAACUCUAAGGACUUGGCGGUGCCCUAAACCCACCUAGAGGAGCCUGUUCUAUAAUCGAUAACCCACGAUACACCCAACCAUCUCUUGCCAAUGCAGCCUACAUACCGCCGUCGCCAGCCCGCCUAAAUGAAAGAACAAUAGCGAGCAUAAUAGCUACUCC
Molecule: ribosomal RNA, 230 nt
Filed under: Mullerornis agilis
Lineage: Eukaryota; Metazoa; Chordata; Aves; Struthioniformes; Aepyornithidae
Description: partial 12S ribosomal RNA
Source: RNAcentral